Molecule: ribosomal RNA, 919 nt
Filed under: Geastrum pectinatum
Lineage: Eukaryota; Fungi; Basidiomycota; Agaricomycetes; Geastrales; Geastraceae
Description: LSU rRNA
Rfam family: Eukaryotic large subunit ribosomal RNA
Source: RNAcentral
AUAUCAAUAAGCGGAGGAAAAGAAACUAACAAGGAUUCCCUUAGUAACUGCGAGUGAAGAGGGAAAAGCUCAAAUUUGAAAUCUGGCAGUCUAAGGCUGUCCGAGUUGUAAUCUAGAGAAGUGUUUUCCGUGCUGGACCGUGUAUAAGUCCUUUGGAACAAGGCGUCAUAGAGGGUGAGAAUCCCGUCUACGACACGGACUCCCAGUGCUCUGUGAUACACUCUCAACGAGUCGAGUUGUUUGGGAAUGCAGCUCAAAAUGGGUGGUAAAUUCCAUCUAAAGCUAAAUACAGGCGAAAGACCGAUAGCGAACAAGUACCGUGAGGGAAAGAUGAAAAGCACUUUGGAAAGAGAGUUAAACAGUACGUGAAAUUGUUGAAAGGGAAACGCUUGAAGUCAGUCGCGUCUUCAGAAACUCAGCCUGGCUUCUGCCUGGUGUACUUUUCUGUUGGACGGGCCAGCAUCAGUUUCGGCCGCCAGAAAAAGGUGGGAGGAAGGUGGCACCUUCUAGGUGUGUUAUAGCCUCUCAUCGUAUGUGGUGGCUGGGACUGAGGACCGCAGCACGCCUCUAAUGGCCGGGGUUCGCCCACGUAACGUGCUUAGGAUGCUGGCGUAAUGGCUUUAAACGACCCGUCUUGAAACACGGACCAAGGAGUCUAACAUGCCUGCGAGUAUUUGGGUGGUAAACCCAUAUGCGGAAUGAAAGUGAACAGUUGGGACUUCUGUCAUGGAAGGCACCGACGCCCGGACCAGACCUAUUGUGACGGAUCCGAGGUAGAGCAUGUAUGUUGGGACCCGAAAGAUGGUGAACUAUGCCUGAGUAGGGUGAAGCCAGAGGAAACUCUGGUGGAGGCUCGUAGCGAUUCUGACGUGCAAAUCGAUCGUCGAACUUGGGUAUAGGGGCGAAAGACUAAUCGAAC